CCUACGGGAGGCAGCACUGAGGAAUAUUGGGCAAUGGAGGUGACUCUGACCCAGCCAUGCCGCGUGCAGGAAGACUGCCCUAUGGGUUGUAAACUGCUUUUAUACAGGAAGAAACACUGGUAUGUAUACCAGCUUGACGGUACUGUAAGAAUAAGGACCGGCUAACUCCGUGCCAGCAGCCGCGGUAAUACGGAGGGUCCGAGCGUUAUCCGGAAUCAUUGGGUUUAAAGGGUCCGCAGGCGGUCAAUUAAGUCAGAGGUGAAAUCCCAUAGCUCAACUAUGGAACUGCCUUUGAUACUGGUUGACUUGAGUUAUACGGAAGUAGAUAGAAUGUGUAGUGUAGCGGUGAAAUGCAUAGAUAUUACACAGAAUACCGAUUGGGAAGGCAGUUUACUACGUAUAUACUGACGCUCAUGGACGAAAGCGUGGGGAGCGAACAGGAUUAGAUACCUUGGUAGUCCACGCCGUAAACGAUGGCUACUAGUUGUUGGGCAUUAGCUCAGUGACUCAGCGAAAGUGAUAA
RNAcentral lists this ribosomal RNA (523 nucleotides) under uncultured bacterium. RNAcentral's name for it is "bacterial SSU rRNA". It matches the Rfam family "Bacterial small subunit ribosomal RNA", at positions 338 to 863 of the family's 1533-position model. The record is from RNAcentral.